AAGCGGAUCUCUUAAAGCUGUUCUCAGUUCGGACUGCAGUCUGCAACUCGACUGCACGAAGCUGGAAUCGCUAGUAAUCGCGGAUCAGCACGCCGCGGUGAAUACGUUCCCGGGCCUUGUACACACCGCCCGUCACACCAUGGAAGUCUGCAAUGCCCGAAGCCGGUGGCCUAACCACUUAUGUGGAAGGAGCCGUCUAAGGCAGGGCAGAUGACUGGGGUGAAGUCGUAACAAGGUACC
Molecule: ribosomal RNA, 240 nt
Filed under: uncultured bacterium
Lineage: Bacteria
Description: partial 16S ribosomal RNA
Rfam family: Bacterial small subunit ribosomal RNA
Source: RNAcentral